GUCCUCAAGACUGCUAUCCCUUUUUUUUUGUUGGGCACUACUUUAUUUCACCAUGGGAGCUGCCCGUUCUCGUUUUCUCGUCCUGGCCAUGCUCAUGAUUGUGUUGCUCUACUUGUCGCUGGUCAGCAGCGCUCGCAAGAGCGGCCUCAUGCCGGCUGCCCCGGGCAGCCACGCUGGCCGCAAUAACCCUCCGGUUUCUUCCCAUAGCGGCCAUCCCCAAGCUUCUCAUGAAACCCGACUGAACACCGGCUAUCGGGCCCAUGUGCUCAUGGACGACUAUGGUCACGGAAGUCCUAAUCCUCCACGUCAUUGUUGUGGCCAUUGAGGAGCCGGUUUGACGGCAUGAUGACGUGAUGAAAGAUGAGGAGAAAAAAAUUCACAAUAAUAAGCCAAAUAUGGCACACUCCCUAGCUACAUUCAUUAUUGUGUCCAUAACUCUAUCUAUAUUGUGUUUACUCUUGAUUGUCCUUGUUGGCAUGGUGAUGACUCAAAGCUGAUGAGGACUGCGGUCUCAGCUAAAAUAAUCAUAGCUUUUAGGUACCGGCUUUCGUAAUUUGUUCAGGGUUGCAUAUUUGGUAUUGUUCAAAGAGUAAAAUAUAUGAAUAGCCAUUGUACUUGUUAGCCUA
Long non-coding RNA from Panicum hallii, 626 nucleotides. RefSeq lists it as uncharacterized. The record is from RefSeq and is a predicted model, not a curated record. NCBI's taxonomy places the organism in Eukaryota, Viridiplantae, Streptophyta, Magnoliopsida, Poales, Poaceae. The transcript is spliced from 2 exons.